AAAAGAACCUGAAACCGUGUACGUACAAGCAGUGGGAGCACGCUUAGGCGUGUGACUGCGUACCUUUUGUAUAAUGGGUCAGCGACUUAUAUUCUGUAGCAAGGUUAACCGAAUAGGGGAGCCGAAGGGAAACCGAGUCUUAACUGGGCGUUAAGUUGCAGGGUAUAGACCCGAAACCCGGUGAUCUAGCCAUGGGCAGGUUGAAGGUUGGGUAACACUAACUGGAGGACCGAACCGACUAAUGUUGAAAAAUUAGCGGAUGACUUGUGGCUGGGGGUGAAAGGCCAAUCAAACCGGGAGAUAGCUGGUUCUCCCCGAAAGCUAUUUAGGUAGCGCCUCGUGAAUUCAUCUCCGGGGGUAGAGCACUGUUUCGGCAAGGGGGUCAUCCCGACUUACCAACCCGAUGCAAACUGCGAAUACCGGAGAAUGUUAUCACGGGAGACACACGGCGGGUGCUAACGUCCGUCGUGAAGAGGGAAACAACCCAGACCGCCAGCUAAGGUCCCAAAGUCAUGGUUAAGUGGGAAACGAUGUGGGAAGGCCCAGACAGCCAGGAUGUUGGCUUAGAAGCAGCCAUCAUUUAAAGAAAGCGUAAUAGCUCACUGGUCGAGUCGGCCUGCGCGGAAGAUGUAACGGGGCUAAACCAUGCACCGAAGCUGCGGCAGCGACGCUUAUGCGUUGUUGGGUAGGGGAGCGUUCUGUAAGCCUGUGAAGGUGUGCUGUGAGGCAUGCUGGAGGUAUCAGAAGUGCGAAUGCUGACAUAAGUAACGAUAAAGCGGGUGAAAAGCCCGCUCGCCGGAAGACCAAGGGUUCCUGUCCAACGUUAAUCGGGGCAGGGUGAGUCGACCCCUAAGGCGAGGCCGAAAGGCGUAGUCGAUGGGAAACAGGUUAAUAUUCCUGUACUUGGUGUUACUGCGAAGGGGGGACGGAGAAGGCUAUGUUGGCCGGGCGACGGUUGUCCCGGUUUAAGCGUGUAGGCUGGUUUUCCAGGCAAAUCCGGAAAAUCAAGGCUGAGGCGUGAUGACGAGGCACUACGGUGCUGAAGCAACAAAUGCCCUGCUUCCAGGAAAAGCCUCUAAGCAUCAGGUAACAUCAAAUCGUACCCCAAACCGACACAGGUGGUCAGGUAGAGAAUACCAAGGCGCUUGAGAGAACUCGGGUGAAGGAACUAGGCAAAAUGGUGCCGUAACUUCGGGAGAAGGCACGCUGAUAUGUAGGUGAAGUCCCUCGCGGAUGGAGCUGAAAUCAGUCGAAGAUACCAGCUGGCUGCAACUGUUUAUUAAAAACACAGCACUGUGCAAACACGAAAGUGGACGUAUACGGUGUGACGCCUGCCCGGUGCCGGAAGGUUAAUUGAUGGGGUCAGCGCAAGCGAAGCUCUUGAUCGAAGCCCCGGUAAACGGCGGCCGUAACUAUAACGGUCCUAAGGUAGCGAAAUUCCUUGUCGGGUAAGUUCCGACCUGCACGAAUGGCGUAAUGAUGGCCAGGCUGUCUCCACCCGAGACUCAGUGAAAUUGAACUCGCUGUGAAGAUGCAGUGUACCCGCGGCAAGACGGAAAGACCCCGUGAACCUUUACUAUAGCUUGACACUGAACAUUGAGCCUUGAUGUGUAGGAUAGGUGGGAGGCUUAGAAGUGUGGACGCCAGUCUGCAUGGAGCCGACCUUGAAAUACCACCCUUUAAUGUUUGAUGUUCUAACGUUGACCCGUAAUCCGGGUUGCGGACAGUGUCUGGUGGGUAGUUUGACUGGGGCGGUCUCCUCCUAAAGAGUAACGGAGGAGCACGAAGGUUGGCUAAUCCUGGUCGGACAUCAGGAGGUUAGUGCAAUGGCAUAAGCCAGCUUGACUGCGAGCGUGACGGCGCGAGCAGGUGCGAAAGCAGGUCAUAGUGAUCCGGUGGUUCUGAAUGGAAGGGCCAUCGCUCAACGGAUAAAAGGUACUCCGGGGAUAACAGGCUGAUACCGCCCAAGAGUUCAUAUCGACGGCGGUGUUUGGCACCUCGAUGUCGGCUCAUCACAUCCUGGGGCUGAAGUAGGUCCCAAGGGUAUGGCUGUUCGCCAUUUAAAGUGGUACGCGAGCUGGGUUUAGAACGUCGUGAGACAGUUCGGUCCCUAUCUGCCGUGGGCGCUGGAGAACUGAGGGGGGCUGCUCCUAGUACGAGAGGACCGGAGUGGACGCAUCACUGGUGUUCGGGUUGUCAUGCCAAUGGCACUGCCCGGUAGCUAAAUGCGGAAGAGAUAAGUGCUGAAAGCAUCUAAGCACGAAACUUGCC
RNAcentral lists this ribosomal RNA (2271 nucleotides) under Escherichia coli. Its description in RNAcentral is "partial 23S ribosomal RNA". It matches the Rfam family "Bacterial large subunit ribosomal RNA", at positions 542 to 2798 of the family's 2925-position model. The record is from RNAcentral. Lineage: Bacteria; Pseudomonadati; Pseudomonadota; Gammaproteobacteria; Enterobacterales; Enterobacteriaceae.